This 564-nucleotide ribosomal RNA is filed under the name uncultured Glomeromycotina. RNAcentral describes it as "SSU rRNA". It matches the Rfam family "Eukaryotic small subunit ribosomal RNA", at positions 548 to 1114 of the family's 1831-position model. The record is from RNAcentral. Lineage: Eukaryota; Fungi; Glomeromycota.
UUGGAGGGCAAGUCUGGUGCCAGCAGCCGCGGUAACUCCAGCUCCAAUAGCGUAUAUUAAAGUUGUUGCAGUUAAAAAGCUCGUAGUUGAAUUUCGGGAUCAGAUUGUCGGUCGUGCCUCGGUACGCUCUGGCAUUAUUGGUUCCUACCUUCUGGAGAACCGCGAUGUCAUUAAUUUGGUGUCGUGGGGAAUCAGGACUGUUACUUUGAAAAAAUUAGAGUGUUUAAAGCAGGCUUACGCUUGAAUACAUUAGCAUGGGAUAAUGAAAUAGGACGUUUGAUUCUAUUUUGUUGGUUUCUAGGAUUGACGUGAUGAUUAAUAGGGAUAGUUGGGGGCAUUAGUAUUCAAUCGUCAGAGGUGAGAUUCUUGGAUUUAUUGAAGACUAACUACUGCGAAAGCAUUUGCCAAGGAUGUUUUCAUUAAUCAAGAACGAAAGUUAGGGGAUCGAAGACGAUCAGGUACCGUCGUAGUCUUAACCAUAAACUAUGCCGACUAGGGAUCGGAUGAUGUUAAUUUUUUAAUGACUCAUUCGGCGCCUUACGGGAAACCAAAGUGUUUGGGUUC